AGUGAACGCUGGCGGUAGGCCUAACACAUGCAAGUCGAACGGCAGCACAGUAAGAGCUUGCUCUUACGGGUGGCGAGUGGCGGACGGGUGAGGAAUACAUCGGAAUCUACUUUUUCGUGGGGGAUAACAUAGGGAAACUUACGCUAAUACCGCAUACGACCUACGGGUGAAAGCAGGGGAUCUUCGGACCUUGCGCGAUUGAAUGAGCCGAUGUCGGAUUAGCUAGUUGGCGGGGUAAAGGCCCACCAAGGCGACGAUCCGUAGCUGGUCUGAGAGGAUGAUCAGCCACACUGGAACUGAGACACGGUCCAGACUCCUACGGGAGGCAGCAGUGGGGAAUAUUGGACAAUGGGCGCAGGCCUGAUCCAGCCAUACCGCGUGGGUGAAGAAGGCCUUCGGGUUGUAAAGCCCUUUUGUUGGGAAAGAAAAGCAGCAGGUUAAUACCCCGCUGUUCUGACGGUACCCAAAGAAUAAGCACCGGCUAACUUCGUG
This 492-nucleotide ribosomal RNA is filed under the name uncultured bacterium. RNAcentral's name for it is "partial 16S ribosomal RNA". It matches the Rfam family "Bacterial small subunit ribosomal RNA", at positions 29 to 507 of the family's 1533-position model. The record is from RNAcentral.